GGCCGCCGGAGCAGGCCGCCUGAGCAAGCAGGGAAAGCAGCGCGUGUGCACGCGUGUGUGCGUGUGUGUGCAUGCACACGUGAGUGUGUAGACUUUGGAGGAGAAGAAGAGAGGAAAUACAGGAACCAGGCAGCGAGGCAGCCUCUUCCACACCGGCCCCAGCCAGCCUCGACUCAGGGCUACGCACCCACCCCACCAAGGCCCACCGGGGCCUCAGCCCCGCCUCCACGGUUCUUCCCGAGGACCCUUCCACCAGCGGCCGGCAGCUGGGAGAGGACACGGUGAGCAGGCUGGGGGCCCCCUGGCUGGCUCAGCCGCCCGCCGGGCAGCAGGUCGGAGCAGGUUCCAGCUGCCGUGUCUCCCCUUGGCCCCCGCUCACCUGGCCACAGGCCCAGAGACCAAGGACGAAGGCCCCUCCUGAACCCACCCAAGAAGCAGCCCCCUCCCCUCCGCUGAGUCAGGCCAGCGCCUCCACACCGCACACUCUGGACAGGUUCUCACAGCCAGAGCUCCGCAGCCCCGGACUCAAGCAGGACGGCGGGGUGCACCUGGGUCAGAAGGCAGCUGCCGGCACUGGGCUGAGCCCCCUCCACCUGGGACCCGGGAGCUCCGGCUGGGUGUGGCGGCGGCGCCAGCCUCCUCCUCUGUGAGUACAAGUCCUCAGGGAGCCUCCCCUCCCCCACCCACCCCCCCUCCCCCUCCCCCUCGGGCACCAGGCUCCCAAACCACAGGCCUGUUGUCUAAUAAUACCAGCGCCAGCCACCACCUCCAUCUGCCAGCCUAAAAAUAAUCCCUGCUGAGUCCAAAAAAGGCACAGCCCCCAACAGUCCCCCAGUCCCUCCCUGAUACGCCAGGGGGUUCCAGGAGAUUCCAGGGAGCUUGUGAUCGGGCUCCACCGGAACAGCACCCACCCCCUACCUGGGGGGUGGAGAGCCAGAGGCUUGCACGAGGAAAGCGGAGGACAGACAUAUCACCCAAAGCCAAGUGUGAGAUGGAGGAACGGCCGUGUCCACGUCAGGCCGCAUCCUGGUUGUCCUUCCCAGAAGGCAGGUGGGCCAGAGGGCACCAGGACAGCCGGCCUCGGGCCAGGACCUCCACCCACCCCUGGGCAGAUCCUCGGAGAGGUCCCCACCUUCUGCGGUCUCCCCGGCGCUGUCCUCACGGCCCUUCGGCCCCCACUCCCCAUCAAACUUUCAGGCCCCAAGUCAAAGGUCAGUUGAGCCCAGCCUGGCCCUGGCUGGGAACCUUCCCAUUUUCUCUCGAGGCCCUGGGGGAGGGGCAGGAUCUGCAGGCCCCCUCCUCCGUGGGCGCCUCUCCACCCUAACCCUCCUGACCCAGGCAGCAACGACGCUAUUAGCCGCCUUAAUUUGCUCUGGGCUAGAUUGUAUUCCCAAGAGCCUUUCCCCAGGAGCCACUGGCAGGAAGCAGUCAGCAAUCCACCCUCCACUCUGCUCUUGCAGCGGCUCCUCCAUGGACAGACCCAGCGACACCCACCCUGCCCGCCUGCCGGGCAGGUGCAGGCCUGGUCCAAGUGCCCGCGAGCCGAGGGAGCCCUCGGGUAAGGCACCGGGUGGACACAAGUAAGCGGGGGAUCGAAGACCGCGUCUGCUCGUAGUGAAGCGUCAGCACUCCCUACUCAGAAGCCAGAAAACAGGACAGCGGCUCCCCUCGUAUAGUGUGUGCAAGUUACCUGCCACAGCCUGUGGCCGGGCCUGGACCAGGAGGGAGCUCAGGGGCGGGGCGGGGUAGAGGGGCGGGCUGAGAGCAGCACCCAGUCCCCUCCCUUCCAGGAGGACAGGCAGGCUGGCUGAGACCUCGCUCACAGUCUGGCCCACGAGGAAGUGCUCUCCAAAACCUUCAUGAAGGCCCCGACUCUGCUCACCAGUCUUCUGCUUAUUCACGCAAGAACAGAAAAGCAGGAAUAUUCCUAAGAAAAAUAGGUCAGCUGCCUCGGGCAGGCUGGGCUCACCCCCAUGGGCAGGGCCAGGCUACAAGCUGCCUGUGCGCCCGGCUCCCCAGGCACCCAGCCCCUUCUGCACUCAGGAGUCUGGGCUACUGCGCAGCUGAGGCCAGAGCCCACCUUACAAGACAGACCCGUCUUCUGCGUCCCCGGGGCUCUGCCCGUGUGUGUCCCCACUGAGGCUUUCUCUCGGGGAGUUCAGGCAUCCUUCGACCAGCCCCUGGGCUGAGCCUCCAACUUUGGGAGCUUCUGGGCUGCCCACACUCAGGUGUGGAGCAGGGGGCAGGGAAAGUCAGGCGUCUGCUCCAAGUCUAGCCUUACUGCCACCCCCGGCCGUCGACACACAGGCGGGAGCGAUGCCCCACCUCGUUCCUAGAGACUCUGGGUCUCCUGUCUGCUGCAUUCACGUGCACACGCAAACACACAGCUGCACACACAGCAUGCACACACGCACAUGCGCGCACACACACGCGCGCACGCGCGUGCAGUCACCUCCAGCAGCUUGCACCAGUGACAGCUCUUUCCACAAUUCAGAUCCACUCUCACACAAGCUGCUUUACCCAUCCUCGGGCGCAGACAGGAGAGAGCUGCUCCCCGAGACCCGAGCCCAGCCUGAGGAGGCAUGGGACGUGCAGGGGGACAGGGAGCCUUUCAGAGAGAAGAGAGUUCGUCCCUCUCGGGCCUCACCCCCUCGCGCCCAGGUCCGCCCUCACUCCCUCAGCGCAGCAAGGCUGUGGCAGCCAGGCCCGAGGAAGGGAGAUCUGAGGGAGGAGAGCACAGGGCCAGGAGCCAGGACAGAGGGCAGCCAGAGCAAGGCUAGAGUUCAGCAUCUCCCGGCCAGGCAGCAUCUGCUCCUUGGGUAACCAGAUCCCAGCUUUCUGUCUCAGAGCCUCAAACCUGAAACCACCGGCCCUGGGACCCGGCAGCUCCAGGUCCAGCACAUGCCGAUCUUGGGGCCCGCAGCUGAAAGCUGAUUCUUCCCACACACCCCCUGCUCAGCUUCUCCUGAGUGCAGCCUGCCAGACACACCCCUGCCUCUAGCGUGUGUGCUGGGAACACACACACAUGCCACUUGGCCACGUCCUGAGCCAAGUCCUGCUCAGCUGAGAGGCUGCCCGUGGGUCUCACUAGCAGCCUCCAGGCCUAAACCUCCUCCCUCCCACCUUUGCUGCCAAAGGGAGGGAGGAGGGUCAGGGCCAGGCCAGGAGUACAGGGCACUGGUCCAGCUACCAGCAGGAUCUAAGUCAGAACCCACUUCAUUUGGGGACACGAGUCAUGCAGGAUUUGUAGUCAACAGGAGGAGGCAGCCUUGGCGGUAAAGGCCCGGGUCCUCCCCCCAGGCUUGCUCAGCAAACGUCUGGGAUGCAGACUCUAGUAGCCAUCUUCCAGGCUCUUCUGCACACCCUCCCCAACCUCUCCACUGCCCUCCGGACACACGUGACUCAAGCCCAUCCCUCCCUCUGUCCCAACCCGUUCGCCCCUCUGCUGGAGCAGCUCCUGCUCAGCCAAACCCUAAGGCUGGCACCGCAAAGUCCCUCCCCUCAGGAAUCUCCCGGAAGUCACCUCUGCCAGUUGGAGAACAGCUGAGCUCACACAGCGGCAUCUGAAUGCUGGCAGUGUGCAGGCAGCAGCCUCACAGGCCCGUCUCCUGCCCCCGGAAGGCUGUGCGUGAUGAGCUGCUUGCCUCCUGGGCUCCCUGCAUCCUUCCCACAAGGCUCUGGCCACCGACAAAACUCCAGUUCUGCAGAUCUUUCAAAGGAUUCCCGAGCAGCCCUCCACAUUUCCCCGGGCAAGGUCCGCCUGGGAAACCAAACUUGGUUCCCGACAGAGGCAGCAUCUGAACUUUACCCCAAGGCAUUCCCAGCUCCCAAUGCCCUGAAUGGCUCAAGGGAAAGAAACUGAGAGGGGGGCCUGGAAGCCCCAGACAGUGAAACUAUCAUCAUCAUUUACUUACUUACUUACUACAGAACGCUAAUGUUCACAAAAACCCUACAGGCUCAAGCUGUUAACCCCCAGUGAGGCAAGUGACAAUCAGAGAAGCGAAGCAACGUGUCCAAGGUCACAGGCCAGCAAAUGGCCGAGCCGGACUUGAGUCCAGGCCCUGUGACUAGACCUAGGUCCUUCACCUCCACACACAGAGCCCCUUUGGCUAAAAGGAUCCCCAAGACCCACAGGGGUGGCAGGCAGGGGUUCACGUCCAGCCACCUCAGACAGAAGAAGGCAAAAGCUUCAUAACCAACAACCUUCAAUCUGGGAAGUCCUUCCUUCUGUCUAGCCGCUUUGUGUGCUGCUGUAAUAAAGCCCAUUUGCCUUUCUUCUGUAUUUAAACUUGCAAAAAGUCCAUCC
Long non-coding RNA from Physeter macrocephalus (sperm whale), 4306 nucleotides. RefSeq lists it as uncharacterized. Lineage: Eukaryota; Metazoa; Chordata; Mammalia; Artiodactyla; Physeteridae. The record is from RefSeq and is a predicted model, not a curated record. The transcript has 3 exons.